This 605-nucleotide ribosomal RNA is filed under the name uncultured bacterium. RNAcentral's name for it is "bacterial SSU rRNA". It matches the Rfam family "Bacterial small subunit ribosomal RNA", at positions 8 to 608 of the family's 1533-position model. The record is from RNAcentral.
AGAGUUUGAUCCUGGCUCAGAUUGAACGCUGGCGGCAUGCCUUACACAUGCAAGUCGAACGGCAGCACGGAGCUUGCUCUGGUGGCGAGUGGCGAACGGGUGAGUAAUAUAUCGGAACGUACCCUAGAGUGGGGGAUAACGUAGCGAAAGUUACGCUAAUACCGCAUACGAUCUAAGGAUGAAAGUGGGGGAUCGCAAGACCUCAUGCUCGUGGAGCGGCCGAUAUCUGAUUAGCUAGUUGGUAGGGUAAAAGCCUACCAAGGCAUCGAUCAGUAGCUGGUCUGAGAGGACGACCAGCCACACUGGAACUGAGACACGGUCCAGACUCCUACGGGAGGCAGCAGUGGGGAAUUUUGGACAAUGGGCGAAAGCCUGAUCCAGCAAUGCCGCGUGAGUGAAGAAGGCCUUCGGGUUGUAAAGCUCUUUUGUCAGGGAAGAAACGGUGAGAGCUAAUAUCUCUUGCUAAUGACGGUACCUGAAGAAUAAGCACCGGCUAACUACGUGCCAGCAGCCGCGGUAAUACGUAGGGUGCAAGCGUUAAUCGGAAUUACUGGGCGUAAAGCGUGCGCAGGCGGUUUUGUAAGUCUGAUGUGGAAUCCCCGGGC